RNAcentral lists this ribosomal RNA (249 nucleotides) under uncultured bacterium. RNAcentral describes it as "partial 16S ribosomal RNA". It matches the Rfam family "Bacterial small subunit ribosomal RNA", at positions 83 to 334 of the family's 1533-position model. The record is from RNAcentral.
CUUUGCUGGCGACCGGCGCACGGGUGAGUAACACGUAUCCAACCUGCCCUUUACUCGGGGAUAGCCUUUCGAAAGAAAGAUUAAUACCCGAUAGCAUAAUGAUUCCGCAUGGUUUCAUUAUUAAAGGAUUCCGGUAAAGGAUGGGGAUGCGUUCCAUUAGGUUGUUGGUGAGGUAACGGCUCACCAAGCUUCGAUGGAUAGGGGUUCUGAGAGGAAGGUCCCCCACAUUGGAACUGAGACACGGUCCAA